GGAGAAGACACAGUCCGUGAAAGCGAUCAAUAAUCUUCUGCGGAGAAAAGGACGUCCGGGGCCACCUAGUCACUCAGUUCAUAACCAGUGUCGGUGCCUCAGUGGUUGGUUGGUAAAGGUUUCACACUAAAUCGAGCCGGAAGAUGUGCCCGUUAAAGAUCCGGAGAGUAUAGGCGGUUCUAACGGUGGACACCAUCCCGAACUCGUUGAAAUUUUACGUCAAUAGCCACGGAAUCAGUCCUCACGGGAGAGGAUUAAAAGACGAUUUGAAAAAAGACGAUUUGAUUAAAAGUAUAACAUACAUGCUUUGGAUGCUGAUUUCGUCGUUAUUCAGCCGGGUGCGGAGGACUUCCUGGUGGUCAUCAAGAUACAGUGCUGAAUCAUAAUCCGAAGCAGAUACCUUAUCGGGGAGCGGCGU
Molecule: long non-coding RNA, 418 nt
Organism: Armigeres subalbatus
Lineage: Eukaryota; Metazoa; Arthropoda; Insecta; Diptera; Culicidae
Exons: 4
Source: RefSeq, a predicted model, not a curated record